RNAcentral lists this small nucleolar RNA (95 nucleotides) under Echinops telfairi (small Madagascar hedgehog). RNAcentral's name for it is "Small nucleolar RNA SNORA61 (ENSETEG00000026815.1)". The record is from RNAcentral. Lineage: Eukaryota; Metazoa; Chordata; Mammalia; Afrosoricida; Tenrecidae.
AUCAGCCACUUCCCUUCCCCAUCAGACCUACACGUUGGUGUGAGUGGUUCUAAACGGAGGAAAAGGAGAGACACACGAGCUGGUUUCCAACAAUG